GUUCGCUUCGCGCACGCCGGCCAGGCGCUCGCGCUCGUGGCGCGCGCGUUCGACGUCGAGCGCGGUCGGCGCAUGUUCGAGCCGCCCGGCGCUCGC
Molecule: transfer RNA, 96 nt
Filed under: Burkholderia multivorans
Lineage: Bacteria; Pseudomonadati; Pseudomonadota; Betaproteobacteria; Burkholderiales; Burkholderiaceae
Description: tRNA-Thr
Source: RNAcentral